ACAUCAGCAGAUUGGCAUUGGUGACAUCUGCUAAUUAUCUGGUUUGACUCAUGGCUAGUGUGAGACUUCCACCUGCAGUGAUUAGAAAGACACGAUCAGUGUGAGAUUAAUAGUACCCAGUCCGUGACCAAUUUGUAGUAAUGAGUAGCCUGGUCUACUUUUCUGUUUCCCCCAGAGGUAUCAUUAUUUAUCAUGUGUUGGAAACAUAGCUGCCAGAAGUUUAGCAUAAACCUGAAGCGAUUGUAUCUAACUUCAUUCGAGAAGAAGGUGUAUUGUCUUCCAAUAAUAGCAUAUCAACUCUCAAAUUGCAAUGGCCCAUACAACUGCAUGUUUAAAGCCUUCCAGGGGCGCCUGGGUGGCUCAGUCGGUUAAGCGUCUGACUUCAGCUCAGGUCACGAUCUCGCGGUCCUUGAGUUCCAGCCCCGCGUCGGGCUCUGGGGUCAUGGCUCAGAGCCUGGAGCCUGCUUCUGAUUCUGUGUCUCCCUCUCUCUCUGCCCCUCCCCCAUUCAUGCUCUGUCUCUCUCUGUCUCAAAAAUAAAUAAACUUAAAAAUAAAUAAAUAAACAUUUAAAAAAAUUUAAAAAUAAAUAAAUAAAGCCUUCCACAUCUCUCUCUUAGGGUCUCCUCUCAGCUGUCAUUCCAACGUGAAAGCACUCCUGAAAGAGAGUGGAAAAUGACCUUUCUUGCUUCCUGGUACCAGGUUUUGAGAAGUAUCUGCUCAAAUAGCCUUUUUUUUUUUUUUUUUACCAUCAUCAUGUGACUUCCACAGCUUCAUUAAACCAGAUUAGUCAUGCUUCUUGGUUUAAUUCAGAGUGAAUUAAAUCAUAUCCAAUGAACAAAGAGUUUUGUUCAUUUUUGUAACGUUCAGAGGAGAUUAGAGAGGCAGUGGCUUCAGACCCUGGUAGUGGCCACAUUUGCUAAUUCCGCGUUCGAUGCUUCCAGUCGCCAUGAGUGUACAUUUUCACCACUUGUUUGCAGUCUACCAAAGCCAACUCGGGGGGGAUGCUCUCUGCCCCCUGCUGCUGCUUGCCUGUCACUGCAGCAGAUGACUCAGCGGAGGGAUCUUCCAGACCAGGAAUAGAGAAAUGUGUAUGUCUGCUCAGAGCCCCUGAGAAAGCCACGACUUUUGGGGGAAUUCACAUAUCACGUGGGUGCCAAAUAUGGAAGUGUCAGGUAAAUGAAUGGAGAGGAACGCUCAGUCAGUAAUAGCCCUGCUGGGAAAAAUGGCAGAGACUCUUGAGCCGUGGAUCUUACUGCUUUCUUAGCUCCUCCCUGGGGAGCCCUCAGGGCACUUCCUGGGCCACCUUGGCUACUGCUCUUCCUCUUGAUUUUGCCAGUUUCCUCCCGCCUCAGCACAGGCGCACCUGCUGCCUGAAAAGCUCCCCCAACCCCCCCUUCACUCACUAAACCCUACCUGUCUAUUAAAAUUGAGCUGAAAGGUCACCUUGAUGAGACAGACUAAGUCAGGACUCCAUUAAAUCUUCUCACACUAUCUGGUUCUUCUCCUUACAAUUUUAAUUGAAAAAUUAAUCACAGAGAUUGUUGCUUGAUGAAUACGUCAUCUGCUAAAGUGGUAGCCACCCCACCCCCAACCCCGGAAGGCCUUUUGUUUUUUUUUUUUUGGUAUACAUAGCAGGUGCAAAAUACAUAGUUUUUUAAAUGAAUGAAUGGAUGAAUUCUGAAUUGAAAACCCAGCAUUCUUUAAUUUUACAACAUUUCUGUUGGUUUUGCAGCUAAGCCAGAACCAGGUUUAUUGUGAAGUAUAAUUCCAAAGACACCCAAGGGAAAGAAAGAGGAGAAGGUAGGGAGGGGAUGGCCGAAUCAGGUCAGCUUGCUCAUCAUUCUGUUUCACCAGGAGCGGUUAAAUGACAAAGCAAGCCUGCAGAAAUGUUUCUCUUUCUAUAAACUUCACUACCUGAGAAAGAGUAGGAGCUCUUAUCAAACCCCACCUACUUUUUACCGUUUACAAGUACUGCUGACCCACCCUCUAAGACUAACAAUUUUUUUUUGUGAUACCUGCAUUUAGGACAGAAUCUUAGGUACCGAGUUAAUUCCCAUUGCGUUGUAUGACCAGCACCAAUGCUUCCCACUGGGCAUAAGGUACUCUGGUUAUUUUCUCUAUGUCUUCUUCUGGAAAUAAGAAAUAAUUGUUAUUUUCCUUUUACAGAUGGAGAAAAUGAGCACAGGUAAAUCUUUGAACCUUUGAUGUGGUCACACGGAGCCUCAGUGGCAGGCAAGACAACGGCUCAUUUCUAGAGGAACGAUGGAGGGAAAUCCCAGGCCUCCAAGCCUCUAGGCAGUUUCCAAGGCCUGCAACUGAUCACAGAUCCUGUUUUUCUCCCAUUGGCUAAAAGUAUCGUAAGUACAAGUUACAGCCUGA
RNAcentral lists this long non-coding RNA (2379 nucleotides) under Lynx pardinus (Iberian lynx). Lineage: Eukaryota; Metazoa; Chordata; Mammalia; Carnivora; Felidae. The record is from RNAcentral.